UGGGUCCAUUUGUCGAUGAGGCCGACUGU
This 29-nucleotide non-coding RNA is filed under the name Mus musculus (house mouse). The record is from RNAcentral. Lineage: Eukaryota; Metazoa; Chordata; Mammalia; Rodentia; Muridae.